This is a long non-coding RNA of Mytilus californianus (California mussel), 4827 nucleotides long. RefSeq lists it as uncharacterized. The record is from RefSeq and is a predicted model, not a curated record. The transcript has 3 exons. Lineage: Eukaryota; Metazoa; Mollusca; Bivalvia; Mytilida; Mytilidae.
UAUAAAUAACACAUAGCUGAGAGGGUGAAAGAGCAGAUUGUUACCCCGAGAAAACAUUGUCAACUGAGGCGAAGCCAAGGUUAUUUAAUUUAUUAAACUGAAUGUUCUGUUAUUACUGUCUAUUAAAUUUCAUAUUCAAAGUAAUAAACUAUGUCGUCUUGUACAUAACAAUCAUCCGUAUAAUAAAGCGCACACUUGAUCAAGCGUCUCCGUGAAAGGUAAUAGAGUAUUUGCCAUGGGAUAGAGUAAAUUGUCUCCCUCGUAUUAACCAAUCAAAAUCUGGCAUUUUGACAUGAAGUAUAAUAAUAAUAAAUGUUGUAUAGACGUUACUCGAUGUGAUUUUAACAUUUAUCGGUAUAUAUUUCACGUUUUUGAUAUAUUUUUAACAUUACAUAAUGUUGAUCCAAAAUUUGACAAUUCAACACUACGUGUCACAUGCCAUCUUGUGUUUCAUGUGGUGUUGUUACUCUUUGAUGUCGUUUGUUUAUGUACGACUGAGUGUAUCUAUCCAUCGAGUUAGAGUUGAAGUUAAAGUUAAGAUUAUGCACCGAGUUCGAGUAAGAUUUCGAACCAGAGUUAUAGUUGAAGUUUGAAAUAGAGUUCCGUUUCGAGUGAAAGUUCGAUUUCGAGUCAAGAGUUCGAGUAGAACUUCUAGUUAUUUAGUUAUUUAAUAUGAGUUCGUAAUCAAAUAUUCUAAAGCAGAUCCAGGAUUUUAAAAAAGGUGGGGGCGGGGGUAGAAGCCGGCGGAAAAUAUGGGGCCGAGGGUAAAAAAUUAGAAAGAAUAACAAUAUAUAAGACAUUAGGGAAUUAUUCCUGCCCUAUUUGUCCGUCCACUAUUUGUCCCAUAUCUCUCAAAUGGAAUCAGUAGUAAAGUAAAAAAAAUUAAACAAGUUGUACAUCAUAGUCCAAAUCAUUGAUAUAUUUUGAAUCUAAUCGCGAUCAAAGUUGAUUUUUUAGAGGGAAAAGGGAGAAACAGCGACUUCAUAUGAUAAACAUUUUCCAAUUUUUUUUCCAACCGAUUUUCUAAAUAUGUAUGAUCAUUUGUGUAUAAACUAAUAUUAAUGAUCUUUUAUUUUGAUAAAUUGCAUUCCAUGCUACUCUUGCUUUAGUCUUUAAUGUUGAACCUUGUGAUUGUUAAUGUCCGUGUUGCCUGCAUAUGAGAUAUACAAUACAUUUCCAAACUCAUUAUAUGAAAAAAAAAUCCCCCUCUAUAAUGUAAUGUGAGUACGAAUUUUUUUUUAUACUAAACUGACAGGCUGAUUCUUAUUGUCAUCGUAUCAGUUCAGUAUGUUACAGUACACUGAAAGACAUGUUAUCCUUCCUUGACUCAUUAUUCUGACUGUGCCCUGACCAGUAUUUGCUCCGAUGUUACUCCUUAAUGCCGGAUUCUUAGUGGAGAAGACGUAUCUACCAAUUUUCAAAUCUUUUGUUUGGCCCAGCUGAAUAUUAAUUUCAAGUGAGAACGUUCACUUCCAAAAGACAAUUGUGUAUUUUAUUUUUACAGUUGUUUCCGCCUUUGACCCUUCGUUGCUUUGAUUUUUAUAUAAAACAGAGCGCUGCAUCCAGAUCUGUCCUCCUGUAGUUUUUAGAAAGAAAAAGCGUGUUCCGAGAUAUUAUAUAAAAUGUUCCUAUGCUAUUGAUUACAGCUUGUUUUCAGUAGUCUCAUUACAUUCGAAUAUUAAAUAGAACUCGAUCUUAUUAAUUGUAUGUUUUGUUUAAUAAAGUACCUACCACUUAAUAAUGGGGUCUAUGCAUUUUAAGCGGAGGCACAUUUAAAACAAACGACAUGGAAAUUGGGUUUCAAUCUUAUGACUUUUUCUAAAUAAUUCACGUGGUUUCAUCUCAUCAAGUAAUGGGAUAAUCACGUAGAAGACUGACAAAUCCACAUCAAACACUGGAACGAACACAUCGCGGUUUGAAGAAUCGUCAAAUUUUGGAUCAACAUUUAAUAAUAUUUAAGCCAUAUCAAAAAUGUGAAAACCACAUCGAGUAACGUUUAUACAACAUUAAAAGAUGAUAAAGUCUUAUCAAUAUAUGUAAUACUUAGCCAUAUUACGAAUUGACGAAUCGUCAUUACGUAAUAAUAAUACAAACACAGCUUCUAAUGAAACAACUACAUCAUGCAAAGCCACACACAUAUCAAGUAAUGAUGAAACCACAUUACCUAAUGACACAACCACAUUAAAUAAUAUAUAAACCUUAUUAAGUAAUGCAAAACCAAAUCAUGAAAAGUCAAAAUAUCAUCAAUUACUGAUAAAACUACAUCACGUAAUGUCAGAGCGCUCACUGAAACAACUGCUGCGUUCCAUAUUGAAGCAACUGACAUUGAAUUGUAAGUUGUUGAUAUAAACCAUGAAAAGGUGAAAGAAAAUAAAAAAAGAAGGUAAGUUAAAACAAUAACACACGAAACAGUUUUUCGGUAUUGACAUGAUUUAUAACACACUUAGGUUUCAACUCCCCCAAAAAAUAUUGACUUAACAUAGAUUUAGCUCUUCUUUUAAUGUCCUUUAUUGAUCGCUCAGCUCCGUGUUCAAGUUGUAAAAAAUUUAUCUAAAAAAAUGUUUUAGAACUUGUUACUACCAACCAGUCCAAUAAAUCGAUAUUUGAUUUAAGAUUUUUUAUUUUAAAAAACUAAAAAUCCUGACCAUCGUAACUACUAGCUUACAUAUUCCAGGAGCCAACGACUUACAUUGCCGUUUGUUGGACGAACUGUAUGUGCAAAUUAAUAAUAUCAUAAAAAUAUAUUUUGUUGUAACCUAUAUAUUCAAUAUCUUACAAAUAAACACUGUCUAAAAUUAGCUCUGGUCGUUUCCAGAUAUUUCCAGGUAUCUAUUAUAUAUAUUGUUUUAGAAUAUACGAACCUUACACACUAUUGACGCUCACUUAAGUUCUGUUCGAUGACUUAUUUAUAAUCUUGUUCUUAUAUUUGGCAAAAUUGAGACCAACCUAGUUUAACUGUGGUAACAAAUCAAGGAGAAAAUCAAUAGCGCUUAUAAGAUAUGUACUAGCGACAACGAACGCAUUGGCAGGUGUCAUUUCGACCACUGUGAAUUACAAGAAAUAGCAUGGGUUCAUGAAGGGUGAUGUUUAUAAUAAUGACUGACUAUGAUGAAAUGGUUGAUACAAAAGUUAAUGGGAUUUUUUCACGAAUAUAUUUCUGUGGAGAAAUAAAGUGAAUUGAUAAAAUCAAUUGAUAGGCUGGAAAAUCGUUCCUAGCGUACGAAGAUUAAAUUCAAUUAUCGAUCGAGGGAUUAACUUUCACCACAUAUUAGAUUUUUUGAUUCUGUACUUCAGCAGCAUCACUGAAAGUGUUGUUAAGGUUGCAUGUAAUGCAACUAAACUGUUGCAUAAGUUAUGGAAUAUUAAAACUGUUCGAAGUGAAAAGAAGUCCUGUAUGGAAGCUAUACCUUUACUUGCUCAAUAUCACAAGAUGACAAAUUUGAAAAGAAGAGAAUAUCAAAAAUAUGACUUGAGUCCUGAAUAUCAUCAUUUACCUUUCUCUUCAGUACCUUUUACGGAUAUGAUGUACACCAAAAAUCAAAAGAGAUUUAUGAAAUGGAUUUCAACUGGUUGCGAAUGAAUAUUGGUUGUAGAACCACUGUGAUGCAGAGGAGAAGCUGUGCGCCUGAUGGUCAUACAAUCUAUGGGAUCAGCGAUAUAUAUAUUGUACUUUAUGUAUAGAAAGAACUUCCAUCAUUGAAGUCACCGACGAGACAAAAUACAUACGAUCGCGUGAAAACGACAAUUCACAGAUACUUUUGAUGAUAAAUAUCUACAUCACAGUUUAUAUUCACAACAUUACAAUGUUGAUUUGUUGGUAUUUGACCGACAUUCAUGGCACGAGUCAUAUUCCUUAUGUACAUUUACCUCAAGUUUUCCAAAUACAUUGUUUCACUACAAGAAUGGCAUUCAUUGCCCAACCGAAGUCAAUUUCGAUCUAGAGAUAUUUUGUCCAGUCACGACCACGUGACUUUUCUUUACAUUGUUUGUUAUCUAAGAACCUGCAUUAAUUGAAGUCAUUGAACAGACCAGAAUAAAAAUCGAAUGAGUCGGCAAUUCAAAGAUACUGCUACUAACAUUAUACAUAUGCAUUACAGUUUAUAUAUAUAUACACAUGACAAUGAUGAUAGCGUGCUAUUUCAUCGAGUUCAUCAGACGGGUUUUAUUCUAAUAUAGAUAUAUAAUCAAGUUGUGUCAAUACAUUGCUUCACAAUGGAAUUCAUUCCGGCCGUGAGUCCAUUUUAGCCUAGAGAGAUUUCACCAAUAACGACUACUUUGAAUUAUUCUUUUCAACAAGUGCAUCUUCAAAAGUAUUGAAGACGGUAUGAAGUUAAUUCUAGGACCAUGGACAUCUGACUAUUACCUUAUGUGAUCUUAAGAUUAAUCUCAACAAGGAUAGACCAAUACAUAAAUAUUCGGAUAUCAGAUUAAUCGAAUGAUGUGUGCUGUUUUUCAUGAAUCGCAUUUUUUUCAUUUUGUAUAUUUAGAAGGUUGCAUGCAAAUAGAUAUAUAUCGGCAGGGAAGAAUUAUUCACUUUUCGACAGAAUGAUCUGGCAAUAUCAAACGUAAACACAGCAUCAGCUUGCUGACUUAAUUUAUCGUUGAUUUGUAUUUAUAAUAUAGUCAGUUUUGAUCUAAGGACAUUAGUACUACUGCUUGAUUUAUGUGUAUACUUUGUUUCCAUGUUUAUUAUUGUGUUUAUCGUUGACUUAUUGAAGGUGAUCCCGGGGUGUCUACCAAUUCUUAAUACUUGGGGGUCACUCAUACUCAUCUGAUUUCUAAUCACUCAGUUUUGUCUGAUUUUCAUUUGAAAUAUUUCACUUGUUA